Molecule: long non-coding RNA, 946 nt
Organism: Xenopus tropicalis (tropical clawed frog)
Lineage: Eukaryota; Metazoa; Chordata; Amphibia; Anura; Pipidae
Exons: 2
Source: RefSeq, a predicted model, not a curated record
CCAUCAAAGCAGCCAGACAGGUGGGGGGCCACACAGAGGUGGGUCGCGGGCCGCCAGUUGGACAGCACUGCUAUAGAGAAUAAAAGUGAUAGGAGGGAUAGUAAGUGGGGAGGGCGGGAAGGGCAAAGGGAAAGGAGAGUAGAACAGUAGGUACAUAAAAUAUAAAAUGGACACUUUACUUAUUUUCUGAAAUAUAGCCAGUCUUCUGUUGAUAUACUCUUUCAUCGCUGCUUUGUCCUCAAUAACAUUAUCUGUUGAAAGAGACACUAGACAUUAGUGGAAUAGGGAGCUCUAACAUAUAAAUGAAGCAGAGAGGAGAAGAACAGGAGCAAUAAUGUGAGGGGCGUGGGUACUAUAGAGAAUACAGAGGAAGGCUAAUGCUCUAUGUAAAAAGGAAACAGGCUAGCACAGGGGUGGGAAUAUAGAGAAAACGGCAGUUACACAGAGACCAACUGAAGGUACUCACCAGGUGAAACGGUGGUCUCUCUCCGACGCACCGGAGCUCCAACAGCUGCAAUUAGAAGCAACGCACGAUGUCAGAUUCAAAGAAUUAAAUCACAUAUAUAUGUCAUAUAUAAUAAGUAAAUCUGUGUAAUGAUAAACUGUGGAAAAUAUAAGUACUAGAAGCAAUGGUACUUACUUGAAUUAAUUAAAAAUAUGAAUAAAAAAAUAAUAAGCAAAAACAAGGUCUUCAUGUUUUGACAAUCAGACCUCAAAUGGCUGCAGUCAGGAACAAGAUCUGGAUUAAACCUAGGGACCAUUGUGAUGUCAUCAACAACCAAGUCCUGUGACCAAACCCGGAGGCAAGAGCAUUGUGAUGUCAUCACCACUCACCAAGCAACUGUUUGAACUGAGCAGGAGAGAGGGGGACAGAAAUAUCCAUUUACACUGUUAUAUAAAUGUGUGAUUUUGUAGCAUUAAUAAAAUAUACAAAGAUGGAAACUUA